This 217-nucleotide unclassified non-coding RNA is filed under the name Hevea brasiliensis (rubber tree). The record is from RNAcentral. Lineage: Eukaryota; Viridiplantae; Streptophyta; Magnoliopsida; Malpighiales; Euphorbiaceae.
GAGCAUCUUCAAUUUUUGGGCACUGAUGAACAAAUCAUCUGCACUCAACGACCCAGAAGAACUUCAUCUGCCCAUACCAGUUCUUCCCAAGAGAAGCAAGAGAAGAAGCAGUAUGACAAGCAAGCGACAAGACAUCGUAUUGGGAAUGCAUUCCGUAACAGCUGGGGCAGAAAAGAUUCUGAGUACAAGAACUCAAAAAAGAACACCUCUAUGGCAG